GAAGUCAAAUGAUUUUGUGGACUAAGCUGUAAAACAGAAACAUGCACUCAUUGAAGUUUUGACUCCUAGCAUCCUAUAUAGCUGCAGUCUAGCUCAGGGAUGGAUGACAAGCAUCUCUUUAAGUGCCAUUGAUGUGAAGAGUCUAGCUGCCUGCAGAGUGAGUGGUGAAUGGUUAUUACAUUCAGCUGCCAACUGUCAGCUGUAAAAGCCAGCUGGAGACACAGCUGGAGACACAGGAGACAAUCUAUGCUGUGCUUUCUCUGCUAUUCUCCUUUUUCAGGUUUGGCAGAAAAUUAGAGAAAAAUCUCUUUUACUUAAACACCCACAUUUAAACUCUAGGUCAAGGUAAAUAAACAAAAACAUGCUCUUCUCAUCCUUACACAACCUUACCCAUUGUAAAAGGAAAUUUAGCUAAGAGGAUAUUUAAUUUCAUUUAAAUGAUUCCAAGUGACUCAGAGAAUUAGGUUUUAUUUUUACUUUAAGUGAUGUCUUUACGCUUAGGAAGCAAAGAUGAUAAUCUAAUGAAUCUCAGCUCCUCCUUGUGAGAAAUGAAGAAUUAAAUAAACUUAUAUUGAAUUAAGCAAAUAUUUAUUGAGAACCUACUAAGUGGUAAGGCGUUCCUGUAGGGACGGUAAGUGGUAACGAGUAAUAUAAUAACAAUUAAGGAAUCUGCUCUUUCUGUAGAUCACAAGGUACUUUGCUAUUAAUCGUCUCUUGGGGAUAAGAUAGUCCAUGCUUCAGGGAGCCUGCAGACUUAGGGCAGAGAAUGUCUAUGGAUUUAUUUGAGGAGAAUCCAUUAACUUUAAAGCAGAUAUUCUCUCCAGAGAGUUGCUGACAUUUUACCCAUAAACUUUAACUUCUCAAGAUCCCUGCAACAGGAACAAAAAAAGGGAUCAUUUUUGUCUGGGAUGCACAAAUAAAGGUUGAUGUGUAGAGAUGACUGGUGAUGAAGUCCAGAGAACAAAACCAAGCACUGAUAGAGUGUUCAACUCUGUGCAAGACUAUUCUCGGCACUGACAUAUAUUUACAGUCUAAUCCUCAUACAAUAUUUUGAAGUAAGUUCUGUUGUUAUUUUACAACGAGGCAACUGAGGCACUGAAAGAUGUAAUGGAAAGUGCUGGCGUGUUAACCCUGAGGGACCAGACCAUGAGCCCUUUGAUUUGUGAAUGGUAAGGAUGGUCAUUGAGAGGAAAGAGAGAAUUCACAGAAUUCUGUGGAGAACAUUCUGAUCCUGCCAAUCCGACUAUUCCUUCUGCUUAUGUCCAAUUCUAGUAGUUCAUCUUUCUAGUAUAAAUCGAAUCUUAAAAAGUACAUUGUCUUACAGGCUGCAGAUAGAAAUGUGUCUUUCUUUCAAUUUGGAAAUUCAUAUCUCUGUUCUUCUAUCCUAUCAGUCUGAUAACAUAAUGCCUGAAAGGCUAGAAAAUGCAUGGAAAGAUCUCACAGACGCUCUAAAGAAGUUUUAUUCUUGCAAUGUGAACAAUAUCGAAUGAAAUCUGGACGGUGUGGAAGAAUAUUCCGAAGUGUAUCAUUGAGUCCCAGACAGAGGAUCUUAAUGCAUACUUCUCGCAGAUAAAAUACUUCCAAGUGCUGCAGUUAGACGAAAGAAGGGAACUGUUUUUGAUGUAUCCACAGACUUGGUUGGUUGACUGGGAUCUCUCUACUGGCAACCUGGAAAGGCAAGUCAGCAUUUCUGAGGUUCUAUUUGGGGGUUUCAGAGAUGUUCCUGAGGGUAACUAAUAAGAUAUGUGUAGCUACUUGUUUUGUUUUGUAUUAACAUAGCACCUUCCUGUGGUGGUUGCGUCCUCCUUCUUCAGUAACUGCUUAUUUCUCUCAAUAAGGAAUGUUAAUAUAAUGUGAACAAAAACAGCAUGUAAAGAAAACGAAAACAUAGAUACCCAAAGACAGUCCCUAAAUUAGAAUGUCUUUGCUGACUCUUAAUUUUCAAAAUACUAAGGCACCUGAUUCUGCUUCUCCAUCUCCCCACUGCCAUCUGAAAAGCUUAAUGUGGAAAUGAAUACUCUCUACAUACUAAGCAAUACAAAAGAAACACACUUGAUAAUUACAUUAUUCAUCAGACACUCAAAUUGUGACGUGAAUUUUCUAUAAGAUAAUAGUAGCAGGGCUGGGCAGGAGAAAGACUUACAAGGCACGAAGCUAUUCUAAAUUUUGUUAGCUUUAAUCCCAAUUAGGCCGGGCGCGGUGGCUCACGCCUGUAAUCCCAGCACUUUGGGAGGCCGAGGUGGGCGGAUCACGAGGUCAGGAGAUCGAGACCAUCCUGGCUAACACGG
This is a long non-coding RNA of Piliocolobus tephrosceles (Ugandan red Colobus), 2288 nucleotides long. RefSeq lists it as uncharacterized. Lineage: Eukaryota; Metazoa; Chordata; Mammalia; Primates; Cercopithecidae. The record is from RefSeq and is a predicted model, not a curated record. The transcript is spliced from 4 exons.